GUUUCAAAUAGCUCACUUAGCCUUACCUUUUAUCUUUCAUUGUUAGCCAACUUUGAGCCUAUGCUAAAUCCAUUUGUUCUUAAUUUUAGCACAUUACAAGUCCUAAGUGAAAAACAAUAAAUGUCCCUUGUUUGGAUCUUUGAUUAGCUUAGGCUAGUGAGAGUGUUUAUCAUUUGAUUUGGGAGAGUUGGGAACAUUGGAUAGAG
This 206-nucleotide long non-coding RNA is filed under the name Arachis ipaensis. Its description in RNAcentral is "long non-coding RNA (AIPA_LNC000118)". Lineage: Eukaryota; Viridiplantae; Streptophyta; Magnoliopsida; Fabales; Fabaceae. The record is from RNAcentral.